This 253-nucleotide ribosomal RNA is filed under the name uncultured bacterium. RNAcentral describes it as "partial 16S ribosomal RNA". It matches the Rfam family "Bacterial small subunit ribosomal RNA", at positions 524 to 776 of the family's 1533-position model. The record is from RNAcentral.
UACGUAGGGGGCAAGCGUUGUCCGGAUUUAUUGGGCGUAAAGAGCGUGUAGGCGGCCAGGUAGGUCGGUUGUGAAAACUGGAGGCUCAACCUUCAGAGGUCGACCGAAACCAUCUGGCUAGAGUCCGGGAGAGGAGAGUGGAAUUCCUGGUGUAGCGGUGAAAUGCGCAGAUAUCAGGAAGAACACCCGUGGCGAAGGCGGCUCUCUGGGACGGUACUGACGCUGAGACGCGAAAGCGUGGGGAGCGAACAGG